GACGAACGCUGGCGGCGUGCUUAACACAUGCAAGUCGAGCGGAGCGGCGAACGGGUGAGUAACGCGUGAGUAACUGCCCCCCUCUCUGGGAUAACAGUUGGAAACGGCUGCUAAUACCGGAUAGUGGGGGAUGACUCGCGCCCUAUCAGCUUGUUGGUGGGGUUGUGGCCUACCAAGGCGACGACGGGUAGCCGGCCUGAGAGGGCGACGGGCCACAUUGGGCUGUGAUAGGGCCCAAGCUCCUACGGGAGGCAGCAGUGGGGAAGAUGGCGCAAGGGGGGAAACCCUGUUGCAGCAACGCCGCGGGCGGGAUGACGGCUUUCGGGUGGUAAACCGCUUACAGCCAUGACGCGUGACUGGCAGAAGAAGCACCGGCUAAGUACGUGCCAGCAGCCGCGGUAAUUC
Molecule: ribosomal RNA, 405 nt
Filed under: uncultured bacterium
Lineage: Bacteria
Description: partial 16S ribosomal RNA
Rfam family: Bacterial small subunit ribosomal RNA
Source: RNAcentral